RNAcentral lists this long non-coding RNA (1703 nucleotides) under Zea mays. RNAcentral's name for it is "long non-coding RNA (ZMAY_LNC002459)". Lineage: Eukaryota; Viridiplantae; Streptophyta; Magnoliopsida; Poales; Poaceae. The record is from RNAcentral.
UAAAAUUUUGUAAAUACAAGGAGGGUGGCAAAUGCACUGGGGCUUGCCUUGGUGAGGAGGAGAGUCGGGUUCUUCUACUAGGAUAUUAUAGUUAGCAGCAAAUCCAAAUGGGGCACCUUCCGGAGCACCUUCGGUGACAACCUCAGUUGGAGAAGGUUCAGAUGAAGGAACAAGCUCCCCUUCUACUUCCACUUCAAAUUCUUCUUCAAGGUGCUCUACAAGUCAAUUCAAAGUAUAUGAAUGCUCAUGUAAUGAGAUGCUAUGCAAACUCUCAUUUAAAGAGAGGUGGAAGGCUUACAUACUCUGAGUUAAGCAUAUGACAUUUAUACUCAUGUUUCUGGGUAGUAUAAUCUUCAUCUAAGGGAUCAUAUUAAACUUACUUUAGAAAAAUCAUAGAAUUAUUCAAGUUCUAGUUAGUCAAUUUACUGUUUAACACUAGGUAUGAUUCAAGUUUGUUUUAACCCUAAAUUAGUACCUAGGUUAAGGUUUUAAAUACAUAUACCUAGCUAGUUUGUGGUUCUCUAGGUAAAUCAACACUAAACAGGCUAAGAUUUUUAACAGGAGCUAUUUUAAAGGUAUAUAAUUUUCCCACUAAUUUUCAUGGUUUUUGGACCUACGGUUUUAUUUCUAAAAUUAUUUUAAUCCUCUUAAAGGUACUUUUAAAUAAAUAAAAAAUCUACUAGUUGCUACAAAAAUCCUAUAGCUAAUUUUUUUACAGGAACUACAGGUUUUCAUGGACUCUCAAAAAUUUGUUUCACUAUGUUAUCAUUUUUCUACAUUUUCUAGUGUAAGCUAUUUGUUGUCGGGUAAAAGAAAAAGAUAAAUGACUUAACAGUGAUGGCUGAAACUUAUGGGCUCGGCCCCUGCACACAGGGAAAACAGCAGCACACAGGCCGCCAACGAUCGUAUAUGGAGUUUAUACUAACAUCCCCUCGUAAGAUCAGUUAACAGCGCAAAAGUCUGGUGCCCUAGUUUCUUGUUUCACUGACAUCUACGCUGAGACCCUCCUCUAUUCCUUCAUUUGUGAGUCCCGGUCCUCUACCCACCUCCGGUGGUAACCCAGGUCGAGCACCUGGCCAUGGCACAAGCGUUCGCCACAGGUGACCUACUGUAUUGGAAAUAAACAUUCCCGCACCAACUUUGGCCUUAGUUGACUAAUCCCCUCAACCGGAUUGAUCUGUGCUGACCCUGAACCCCAUCUACAUCCGACGACAGGAGGAGCGCAACCUUGGUUAAGCUACGCCCAAGGUCAUUUGGCAGUAGCGUUUAAUCCGAUGCCGCAGCUAGCAUCAACAAUACAUCUAACAUGUGAUUCUUACACUGAUUGACUUGGGGAACACUGGCCUCGCUGGUCGACGCGGACAUGCUAGACAACAGCAUUCACCAAAGAUUCUAUACCGUUCUAAGCACUGCACCACGAGAAACUUUAAACGGCCCGGCCAGAGAGCUUUACGAGUACUUAAUGGCUAUAGAACACAAAUAGCGCAAAAGAAAUUUACCCUUGAAGCAGCUAACCACGAUGAAAGGAUGAAAAGGCUCGGCGUGGUCACCACGUCCAAGGCAACCAAUGAUAUAGGACUGGGAAACCCCUGUGAUGUUUAGUAGAGAGUUGGAAUGGUCAUAGAACAUCAGUUAUUGAGUUUCAAAUGACCAGAAUCGAAGUAAUGGGAGAGAGGCAGGAAUGGUUUCAGACCCAAUACUCC